Long non-coding RNA from Bos taurus (domestic cattle), 856 nucleotides. NCBI's taxonomy places the organism in Eukaryota, Metazoa, Chordata, Mammalia, Artiodactyla, Bovidae. The record is from Ensembl.
GUGUUUUCCCUUUUCCUUAAGCAGCCCCAUUUGUUUCAGCCUCAGGGCCUUUUCAGCAGCUGCUCACUCCACCUGGAGCUCUUCUCCAGAUGGAAGCUGCUUUUGCAAUAUAAUCUCCGAGACUCUGGCUGCCCAGCUCCUCCAUAAUAACCAGGCAUGGAUGAGACAGAGAUUUUACAACCCUCACUGGAAUAUCCUGCUGCCUGAAAAAGCACCACGGACCUGGAGUCUUGAAACCAGAGGCAGCCCGAAUCCAGCCACUGUCCCUGCUCCUCAGCAGGGUUGAUUAAUUCAGGCCCAGGUGGCAUUGGCUGCCAGCUGUCGCCACCCCAAGGUGCCUCGCCACCAUUCCUUCACCAGGAUUUGCCUGAUGGUCCAGUGGAUAGGAAUCUGCUUGCCAACACGAGGGACAUGGGUUUGAUCUCUGGUCAGAGAAGAUUCCACAUGCCUCAGGACAACUAAGCCCAUGGGCCACAGAACUAUUGAGCCCACGUGCCCCAGAGCCCAAGUUCGACAAGAGAAGCCACAGCAAUGAUAAGCCUGUAUGACACUCCUACAGAGGAGCUGGCCUCAGCAAUGAAGACCCAUCACAGCCAAAAAUAAAUAGGAAAAUAAAGUUGUUUAAAAAAAAAAAGCUUCCACUCCCAUGACCAUUGUCUGAGGUUCAACAGCAGGAGUUUAUCAAAGAAGGGGAACAUCCAGCUAAGACUAGUACCUCAGAAGGUUUAACAGAAGGUUAGAAACACACCUAUUUUAAGGUUUGCAGCCUAAAUGUCACAUAGGAAUAAAAAGGAACCCCAGUGAAGGACUCCUCACAUAGAAUUCCAUCACAAAUUAAUCACAGGUUAUCAUAAGU